GCUUACUAUUUCAUUUUUCUUAAAGAAAAAAGGUAGAUACACGCAGGAGUCAGUACUUGGAAUUAGUAUACACAGUAAAUAAGAGUGCUGAGGAGAACUACAAAAAAAGUCUACUCUGGACGUUAUAUAAUUGGCUUAACAUCUUCACAAUUCUCAAAUUUUAUCCUUUGAGCACUGUCCUUGUAGGACAUUUGGUUCCAUGUUGUCCCCCGGCUUACACCAUAAAAUUUCAUAGCAGGAUUCUUCCCUCCCUUCACAAGUUCCAACUUGUGAAGGGAGGGAAGAAUCCUGCUAUGGCAAACUCGCUCCAGCCACAUCCUAUAUAAACUUUGCCAUUCUUAUCUGUCCCUAACGAUACUAACCAUGAACUUCCUCUUUCAUUUGUAAGGAUCAUCUCAGAACAUUUGCCAAUUAGAUCAUUCCUCCUUGCAAAAUGUAUUGGAAUUUGUAGGCGAGAGUUUUGAAUGUGAGAUGCCUUCAUAGUGACAUAAAAAUGGGGAUGCCUGACUGAUGAAGAACUAGCUUCUCCAUCUUGACAUCUAUUGGCCUUAGGAUUUACUUUCAACCUACACAUUUUCAAUACAGGCUUCUUCUCCUUUUCAAUGAGCUCAAAAAUGAAAGAAUCUCCUGGAUGAAGGUCAUUUGCAUCACGGAACGCCUGCCAACCGUGAAUAUAAGCUGGACCAUCUGGCUUUUUGUUCCAUAACUUUGCUGGCCAAGACCUUCCUUUUAGAUCCAUAAGAAUCAUCUUACAACAUCUAUUGCUCAGAUUGUUCAGCCUUGCAAAUUUUGCCGGAAUAUACAAUCUUGACCGACAGGCACUGCGAGAUGUCACUUUUGCAACAAAGUAAGGAUGUUCAAGAGCAGAAGAACUAGCUUUCACUUCAAAGUUGGUCAUAGCUUGCUUCUUCUUUUUGGGCUUCCUGGUACCACAUUCUUUUGCUAGUUCUUCUUCUGGAAUUUUCCUCUGAGAUUUUUCAAUGUAAGAUGACUUCUUAGUGACACUAAAAUGGUGAUGUUUGAUUGAUGAGGAUCCAGCUUGCACAUCAUGAUAAAUCAGCUCCUCUUUAGCCUCAGUAUUUGUUUGCAGCCCACAUAAUUUCAAUGUAGGUAUCUUCUGCUUUUCAAUGUGUUCAAAAAUUAAAGAAUCUCCUGCAUUAAGAUUAUUUGCAGCACGGAAGGAAGUCCAACCGCGUCCAAUAUAAAUUUGACCAUCUGAUUUCUUGCACCAUAACAUUGCUGGCCAAGACCUUCCCUUUUGAUUCAUAAGAAUCAUCUUGCAACGUCUAUUGCAUAGAUUGUGUGUCCUUGCAAAUUUAAUUGGAAUAUGCAAUCUACUUCGCCCAGCGCUGUAAGAUGUCAGUUUUACCACAAAGUAACGCUCUUCAUGAACAGAAGAAGUAGCUUUUCCUUCUAAGGUAGUCCUGGCAUGCUUCUUCCUGUUGAACUUCUCAGGACUGGAUUUUUUAGCAAGUUGUUGUUCCUGAAAUUCUAUUUUCUCCUCUUUUAUAUCAAAUUCUUCUGUAGGAAAGGAAGGAUAUUCUCUCAAAC
Molecule: unclassified non-coding RNA, 1551 nt
Filed under: Hevea brasiliensis (rubber tree)
Lineage: Eukaryota; Viridiplantae; Streptophyta; Magnoliopsida; Malpighiales; Euphorbiaceae
Source: RNAcentral